This is a long non-coding RNA of Budorcas taxicolor (takin), 218 nucleotides long. RefSeq lists it as uncharacterized. The transcript has 3 exons. The record is from RefSeq and is a predicted model, not a curated record. Lineage: Eukaryota; Metazoa; Chordata; Mammalia; Artiodactyla; Bovidae.
AGCACACCCCAACUCUCACUGGGCAGAAGGACAGCCUGGCUGGAAACUGACUGUCUCUUCUGUCCUCUCUCUUGCGCUCACGCCUCCUCCCUGAGCAGAAGCAGCCGUGGAAGAGCACGAGGAGGCGGUGGAAGAGGAGGCUGGAGGCGAGGCUGAGGCUGGGGAGCCCAGUGCCGCAGAAGACGGAGAAGAAGAGGAAGGUAGAGAGGCUGAAGGUG